AUGAAAAAUAGUUUCUUUGAUAAUUCUUCAGCACUAGAGUAGAUGAUCUGCCUAUUCUUAAAAACUAAAAGCAGAUCACAAUUAAGUUUUAAACUCAUAAAAAAUGAGAAAAAAUUCCUACACAAGAAAAAGGAAAUAAAAAAAAAAAAUCGAGAAAACAUAAAAGAAAGAGGACGCUCUACAAUACAAUAGUAAGAGUGUCGCCUGACAGUUCUCAUCUCCAAAGAGAAAUUGAGGCCAAGGCUCCUCCUACUGAAGAAGACCACCGUCAAGCAUUUCCUCUCAAUAACCUUUGUUGAUUUUAAAACAUCUACUGUUAUGAAUUUAAAGGACAGCGAAAUAAAACCAGAGACCAUUAAUGCUAGGGAAAUAAAAAGCCCAAUAUCAUACCAGUAACGGAAAUUCUGUUUCCACAUUUCACAUUAAAACCAUCCCCACAGCAUUCUACUAGUCUACUCUAACUUUAUAAAAGGCAAGCUAUAAUAGCUUUUACAAAAUCCUUUUCACUUAAAUUGCAACAACCAUCUGCAAACCAAUGAUAAAUUACUUUGGGCCAAUGUCCUUAAGAGCACAGAUCUGCUCCUCCCCCAUUGAAGACAUGACUGUCACAACAAGGUCUUUUCCCUCAGCAAAGCCAUCUUUGAUCUGCAUUCACCGAUAAAUGAUACAAUUAAUUUACAAUACAAGAAUCCAGAAGAACAAAUUUGAUAUCAGAAAAAAAAUAAAGAAAAAUAAUUUUACACAAUAUAAUAACAAUAAUAAUAACAACAAUUUGACUACAGCAGUGUGUAUAGCUUUAGAUAAUAGCAGAAAACAAAUACACACACAGUCUUAAAAUAAAAAUUCAUGAACCUAUUCAGCAUUCAGACACUGCAAUAUACAAGUCAAUCAUUUAACAACAGAGAAGGAUCCUGCUUUGCAAGCUAUAAUGCUGAUUGAAUGAUUGUUUUCCUAAUUACAGCCUACAAUAUUAGCCCAUUCCAAACACUAUCUAGAAUGGCAAGCAAAUUAACUCUCUGAUAAAAAAAUCAGGAAUUAGUAUAC
RNAcentral lists this unclassified non-coding RNA (1044 nucleotides) under Hevea brasiliensis (rubber tree). Lineage: Eukaryota; Viridiplantae; Streptophyta; Magnoliopsida; Malpighiales; Euphorbiaceae. The record is from RNAcentral.